CUCCAAUAGCGUAUAUUAAAGUUGUUGCAGUUAAAAAGCUCGUAGUUGAAUUUCGGGAUCAAAUUGUCGGUCGUGCCUCGGUACGUACUGGCGUUAUUGGUUCCUCCCUUCUGAAGAACCGCGAUGUCAUUAAUUUGGUGUCGCGGGGAAUCAGGACUGUUACUUUGAAAAAAUUAGAGUGUUUAAAGCAGGCUCGGGCUUGAAUACAUUAGCAUGGAAUAAUGAAAUAGGACGUUUGAUUCUAUUUUGUUGGUUUCUAGGAUCGACGUAAUGAUUAAUAGGGAUAGUUGGGGGCAUUAGUAUUCAAUUGUCAGAGGUUAAAUUCUUGGAUUUAUUGAAGACUAACUACUGCGAAAGCAUUUGCCAAGGAUGUUUUCAUUAAUCAAGAACGAAAGUUAGGGGAUCGAAGACGAUCAGAUACCGUCGUAGUCUUAACCAUAAACUAUGCCGACUAGGGAUCGGAUGAUGUUAAUUUUUUAAUGACUCAUUC
This 490-nucleotide ribosomal RNA is filed under the name uncultured Glomus. Its description in RNAcentral is "SSU rRNA". It matches the Rfam family "Eukaryotic small subunit ribosomal RNA", at positions 589 to 1081 of the family's 1831-position model. Lineage: Eukaryota; Fungi; Glomeromycota; Glomeromycetes; Glomerales; Glomeraceae. The record is from RNAcentral.